CGACAGAGCGGGACUCGGCCUCAAAAUAAACAAAUUAAUUAAUUAAUUUUUAAAAAGUUACCACAAACUCCAAAAGAUAAUUUCUGUCUCACCUUAUAUAAAACUUCAAACAUGGAGUGUCCAGCUUGAAGCAGUGUCUGAGGGGAGUACUGCUUUUAGCUGGAUACACCCCGACGGAGGUUUUAUGCAAGGACAGAGAUAAAUUACAGGACUGAGAGGAACCAAGGCUGGUGUGAACUGACUGCUUGCCAUGUACCAGGCUCAGGUCUAAGUCCCUUAAAAGUAUCCCCUAAGCUAAGUCUCCUGAACCCUCGUUAUUACCCCCAUUUUACAGAUGAGGAAACUGUGGUUCAGAGUCAAGUCAUUUGCCCAGGGUCACACACUUGUGCGCAGUCAGUCCUGUCUUGGAAUGGAACAGUGAGUGAGCAGAAGCACUCUGCCCUGCUGGUGGGCUCUUUGCCCCAGGGCCAUGGAGGGCACAUACAGGGUCAGCAGACCUGCACUUCUAUCCCAACCUCCUUAUUGCUGUUACUGAGACCAAUUUCCCAGGUUCGCAGACUCCAGUUAUCCACGAAUUUAGCAUAGCUGGGUGAUCCUCCCCUCCCUUGUUCUCUCUGCCAACACCACCAAAUCCAGGGCCUCCCUCCUUACUUCACACCAAGACUAUUCACCGGCCUCCCAGCUGGCCUCCUGACUCAAAUCUUGCCCCUCUCAUAUUAACCUACUAGAAUACUGAUUGGGUAAUUUCACAUCCUACCCAAAAGCCUUCCUUUCCUACAGAAUGAUGUCCUGUUCUGGCAUUCAGGAUUUUACCACGUAGCAGCCCCCUUCCUCUCUGCAACACUUCCCUCUUUUCCCUCCAUUCCAGCACCCCCUCUCUUUCCAGCAAAGUUUCUUCCAGGAAGCGAACUAACCCUCUGUGUCCCUGACUAGCACAUAAAGGUGAUAUUGUCACUUCCCUACCCCAGGCCUCAGAUUUCCCACAUAAACUAAAAGACUUGGAUGGCUCCCUAAAGUUUCUUUAAAAGCUAUAAGAUUCCAGCCGGGUGAGGUGACUGACUCCUGUAAUCCCAGCACUUUGGGAGGCCAGGGCAGGAGGAUCACCUGAGGUCAGGAUUUCAAGACCAGCCUGCCCAACAUGGUGAAACCCCAUCUCUACAAAAAUACAAAAAUUAUCCGAGCAUGAUGGCGGGUGCCUGUAAUCCCAGCUACAGGCUGAGGCAGGAGAAUUGCUUGAACCCAGGAGGCAGAGGUUGCAAUGAGCCGAGAUCACGCCACUGCCUUCCAGCCUGGGCGACAGAGUGACACACCGUCUCAAAAAAAAAAAAAAAAAAAGGAAGUAAGAUUCCAUGUCAUAUUGUCAAUGACUAGGUCCUAUGGGAAGUAGAAGGCCCUUUGGAAGGACAGCAGAUUGACGUGGAAAUUAGUACAAACACACACACACACAUACCCUGUCUAUUUUAGAGACAGGGUCUUGCUCUGCUCUGCCACCAAGGCUGGAGUACAGUGGCACAUUCAUAGCUCACUGUAACCAACUGCUGGGCUCAAGUGAUCCUCUCGCCUCUCAAGUAGCUGGCACCACAGACACAGGCCAUCAUGCCCAGCUAAUUUUUUUUUUUUUAUUUGUAGGGAUGGGUUCUCGAUGUGUUGCCCAGGCUGGUCUCAAACUCGUGGGCUCAAGCAAUCCUUCCACUUCAGCCUCCCAAAGAGCUGGGAUUACAGGCAUGAGUCACAGUGCCUAGCCACAAAUUAGUAUAUAAUUGACCAAAAUGUGUAUAUUGAAUCAUGAUGGCAGGUGCCUGUAAUCCCAGCUACUCAGGAGGCUGAGGCAGGAGAAUUGCUUGAACCUGGGAGGUGGAAGUUGCAGUGAGCUGAGAUCACACUACUGCACUCCACCCUGAGCGACGGAGUGAGAUUCCAUCUCAAAAAAUAAUAAAAUUUAAAAAAAUAAAAAUAAAGGCCAGGCACAGUGGCUCACGCCUGUAAUCCCAGCACUUUGGGAGGCCAAGUUGGGCAGGUCAUGAGGUCAGGAGAUCAAGACCAUCCUGGCUAACACAGUGAAACCCCGUCUCUACUAAAAAUACAAAAAAUUAGCCAGGCAUGGUG
This 2106-nucleotide long non-coding RNA is filed under the name Homo sapiens (human). Its description in RNAcentral is "HSALNT0143267". Lineage: Eukaryota; Metazoa; Chordata; Mammalia; Primates; Hominidae. The record is from RNAcentral.